GUAACGCGUGGGUAACCUGCCUUACACUGGGGGAGUAACAGUUAGAAAUGACUGCUAAUACCGCAUAAGCGCACAGGGCCGCAUGGUCUGGUGUGAAAAACUCCGGUGGUGUAAGAUGGACCCGCGUCUGAUUAGGUAGUUGGUGGGGUAACGGCCCACCAAGCCGACGAUCAGUAGCCGACCUGAGAGGGUGACCGGCCACAUUGGGACUGAGACACGGCCCAAACUCCUACGGGAGGCAGCAUG
RNAcentral lists this ribosomal RNA (246 nucleotides) under uncultured bacterium. RNAcentral's name for it is "partial 16S ribosomal RNA". It matches the Rfam family "Bacterial small subunit ribosomal RNA", at positions 110 to 353 of the family's 1533-position model. The record is from RNAcentral.